GAUUGAAAUCAUUGUUUUUUUGAAAGAAUUUAUUUAGAAUAUAAACUCACAAUGGAUUGAAAUCAUUGAAUGGACAGAUAAUAUAUCCGGCUCAAAUAAAAGACCCACAGUCGAAGUUAUGUUGAUUGGUGGAUUGGGUAUUUGUGUUACAGUUCAAUGGGCCACGGCCCAGGGGUAAGUUUAGGGUUUGAUGUUACGCCUAAAUUGAUCCAUCUCCACCUUAGGGUUCCGGUACACCGUAGAGGGCGGAGGAGAAGCCAGCAAAUCAGGGGACGAUUGCUUCACGUAAUAACGUCUUCAAAAGUCAACCAACCGCAGAGGGAUGGGGAAAAGAAGAAUGGAUCAAGUUUGUAUGCAAUUGCUAGUUUCUGUUGCAAGAGUUUCCUGGAACGAGGCACAAGACAUGGAUCAAGAUCAAGGACACCUUGACUCCAGAAAGAAGUUGAUUGAAGUCAUUAUUGGAACAAGGGUGGUUCUAUGCCUAUAUUAUCAACGAUUUUACCAGGGUUUUGUGUGUGAGGGAGAAAAUUGUCCAAGGAAAACUUUGAGAAGGAAUUGAUGUUUUUAUUUUGCAGUUGAUCUACAAUUAAAGUAGACAUUUGUUUAUACUAUUUUUCUGUGUAGAUGUAGAUAGCGCUACUUUGGCUUUGUUGGUCAACAAUAUAAAUAAAAUUAAGAGUGAUGUUGAGUCGUUGUCAAACAGGCUUGAAGGUCUGGGCAGUUAUGUAGAAAGUAUUGAAAAGGGUUUGAAAAAAUAUAACCGAGAGCCAGAUCCUGAGUUUCGUUUAGAUCUGAAGCCAUCUUCUUUGAAUCCAAUUGAUCUUCUACCAUCUUUCCCUGACAAGUUUGAUCUAAAUGUUUUUUGUAAUUGGGUAACGAGAGUAGAAACAUGUUUUAGCUAUUAUUUUUUUUCGGAGGCUGAAAAAGCCCAACUUGUAGCCCGCACAUUGCCACAGGAAGGAGAGGCUUUCAGAUGGUGGCAAGGUAUCCAAAAUGAAAGCAUGCAAGUCGAUGAACGCCCGUUUGAUUGGAGUGAGAUGAAGUUGCUGUUUUUGGCUGAAUUCGUUUCUCCAAAAUGUUUGGAAGCCAACAAGAAAUCCAAAACAUCCUUCUAAUGUAUUCAAAUUUACCCAUGGAAAUGGAAUUUUUUAAGAAACCUAAAAUCCUAUUCCCUCGUUUAUUUGAUUUAAAAUAUUUGGAUUCAUCUACUCUA
Molecule: non-coding RNA, 1213 nt
Organism: Lactuca sativa (garden lettuce)
Lineage: Eukaryota; Viridiplantae; Streptophyta; Magnoliopsida; Asterales; Asteraceae
Source: RefSeq, a predicted model, not a curated record